RNAcentral lists this ribosomal RNA (433 nucleotides) under uncultured bacterium. RNAcentral describes it as "partial 16S ribosomal RNA". It matches the Rfam family "Bacterial small subunit ribosomal RNA", at positions 29 to 507 of the family's 1533-position model. The record is from RNAcentral.
AGCGAACGCUGGCGGCAGGCCUAACACAUGCAAGUCGAACGAACUCUUCGGAGUUAGUGGCGGACGGGUGAGUAACACGUGGGAACGUGCCUUUUGGAUCGGAAUAACUCAGGGAAACUUGUGCUAAUACCGAAUGUGCCCUUCGGGGGAAAGAUUUAUCGCCAUUAGAGCGGCCCGCGUCUGAUUAGCUAGUUGGUGAGGUAACGGCUCACCAAGGCGACGAUCAGUAGCUGGUCUGAGUGGAUGACCAGCCACACUGGGACUGAGACACGGCCCAGACUCCUACGGGAGGCAGCAGUGGGGAAUCUUGCGCAAUGGGGGAAAGCCUGACGCAGCCAUGCCGGGUGAAUGAUGAAGGUCUUAGGAUUGUAAAAUUCUUUCACCGAGGACGAUAAUGACGGUACCCGGAGAAGAAGCCCCGGCUAACUUCGUG